GACGUUGAUAGGCCGGGUGUGUAAGUGCAGCGAUGCGUUGAGCUAACCGGUACUAAUGAACCGUGAGGCUUAACCUUACAACGCCGAAG
This 89-nucleotide ribosomal RNA is filed under the name Escherichia coli. Its description in RNAcentral is "partial 23S ribosomal RNA". The stretch from base 1 to 77 matches the Rfam family "Bacterial large subunit ribosomal RNA", at positions 2849 to 2925 of the family's 2925-position model. Lineage: Bacteria; Pseudomonadati; Pseudomonadota; Gammaproteobacteria; Enterobacterales; Enterobacteriaceae. The record is from RNAcentral.